GCUUGCGUGGCUCAGUGGUAGAGCACUCCCUUGGUAAGGGAGAGGUCAUGGGUUCGAUCCCCAUCGUAAGCUCCA
This 75-nucleotide transfer RNA is filed under the name Bacteriovoracaceae bacterium. RNAcentral's name for it is "tRNA-Thr". It matches the Rfam family "tRNA". Rfam says of the family: Transfer RNA (tRNA) molecules are approximately 80 nucleotides in length. Lineage: Bacteria; Pseudomonadati; Bdellovibrionota; Bacteriovoracia; Bacteriovoracales; Bacteriovoracaceae. The record is from RNAcentral.